CUUCUACCUGUAAAACACUGUUUUUGUCACCCAGGUGACUCUUCAGAGCAGUUCCGGAGAGCAGGAGUCUUCUAGAAUCCUGAAAAGCAGUCAGUGUGACCUGUGGGCAGAAGGAAGGAGCUUGCUCUCCGAGGUCUGGGUUAGACGAGGGAGAAAGGAGGUUCUGGACUUAAAUGGGAUUCUGGGAUCCUUGACAGAAAGACUCCUUUGGUCGCAAGUGAUAUGAACCAGCUGGAGCAGCUUAAGCAGAUACUGAGAUCUUUAACGGCUGGGUUUAGGGGAAACCAAGGACUGGCACACAGCGUUGCCUCUUCUGCUUGCCCUCUGUGCCCAAGACACAGGGUGGCUCCCCCGAAGCUGGUGGUAACCAUACAUUCCACAGUUUCCAGCUGCUAAUCCAUCCCUGACCCCUGACUCUCAACUGUGCUCAACUGCAGUGGAAUCCUCCACAGUGUUGUUGCCAAUGACAGGAUUCCAUUUCUACAGCUGAGUGAUAUUCCAUCAAACGUUUGCCACGUUGUCUCCGCCUACUGAGGGACCCUGGGGCUGCUUCCAUAUCUUGGCUGUUGUAGAUCAUGUUUUGAGAAAUAUACAGAGAGAAUGUGGGCAGAGAGAGAAUCUGAAGC
Suricata suricatta (meerkat) is the source of this 626-nucleotide long non-coding RNA. RefSeq lists it as uncharacterized. The transcript is spliced from 3 exons. The record is from RefSeq and is a predicted model, not a curated record. Lineage: Eukaryota; Metazoa; Chordata; Mammalia; Carnivora; Herpestidae.